UACGUAGGGUGCAAGCGUUAAUCGGAAUUACUGGGCGUAAAGCGUGCGCAGGCGGUGAUGUAAGACAGGUGCGAAAUCCCCGGGCUUAACCUGGGAACUGCAUUUGUGACUGCAUCGCUGGAGUGCGGCAGAGGGGGAUGGAAUUCCGCGUGUAGCAGUGAAAUGCGUAGAUAUGCGGAGGAACGCCGAUGGCGAAGGCAAUCCCCUGGGCCUGCACUGACGCUCAUGCACGAAAGCGUGGGGAGCAAACAGG
This 253-nucleotide ribosomal RNA is filed under the name uncultured bacterium. RNAcentral describes it as "partial 16S ribosomal RNA". It matches the Rfam family "Bacterial small subunit ribosomal RNA", at positions 524 to 776 of the family's 1533-position model. The record is from RNAcentral.